CUGAGAGACGUGCCUUGUCGGGCUGAGGACGUGACCGUCCACGUAAAGGCUCAGGCUCUCUUCCCCCCUGCCUCACCGGUGUGGGAAGUGGGUGCUCUCCGGACAGUGCUGGACCUCUGACCCCAGGGGCCAUUCUUGGCCGCAUCGAACAGACUCAAACACAAGUAAGGCCACAGUGGACACCCGCGGGUCUGACGUUGCAUAAGGAGCCACAUUUAUUUCUUAAUUGGACAGAUUCUUAAGUGCACACACACAGUACAGGAGCCUAGAGCCUAACACUCAGGUUUAGGACGUCAGGGAACUCGAGUCGUUACGUCGGGAUGGUGGUUACAGUGCAGGGGCCAGGGUGUGCCACACAACCACAUAUGUACAAGCUACGGGGGGACGCGGGGGGGACGGCCAGCUGCGGGAAGCACCGGCCUGGAAGAAGUCAUAGACUCUGCUGAUCCCUGGGGGCACUUCCCGGCCCCCGGGGUAAAAGGAGGGCGCCUUCCGGGGUCCCGCACCGGAGGGGGCGGACGGAGGACCAGCACUGCGAUCCGCUGACGCCCGAACCACCAGCGACAUUCAGGAACUCUCCCCGAGUGCUUCGCCACGCCCGCCCGACAGGUGCGGAGGGGGAACCGGGACGGAGGGGGAGGCUGCCUCCCUGCAGCCACCCGGGGCGUGUGUGUGGUGUGUGUGAUCGGUGACCGAAACGUUGGCAUCUUAGGAGUGAUUACUCGGAACACGGAGGCCUUGGAACUUGGGAACACGUCAACACCCCUGGGCACCAGCUGGGUCACACUGCAGCCUGGAGCCCAGCGCCCCCCUU
Long non-coding RNA from Lynx canadensis (Canada lynx), 814 nucleotides. RefSeq lists it as uncharacterized. The record is from RefSeq and is a predicted model, not a curated record. Lineage: Eukaryota; Metazoa; Chordata; Mammalia; Carnivora; Felidae. The transcript has 2 exons.